Long non-coding RNA from Arachis duranensis, 711 nucleotides. RefSeq lists it as uncharacterized. Lineage: Eukaryota; Viridiplantae; Streptophyta; Magnoliopsida; Fabales; Fabaceae. The record is from RefSeq and is a predicted model, not a curated record. The transcript has 3 exons.
UUCACUCUUUUGAAAAGAAAAACACGUCUCUUCUUCUUCCCUGUUUUCCCGUCUUCUUCAACAGCGACGCCAGAGCUUCCUAACUCCGUCGGCAUCGCUGCAUGAGCUUCAUCAUCGUAGUGACAGCUCCACCGCAUCUUCAUCCCUGCAUCCUCAUGCCAAAGGAUUGUUCUGUUCUUUAACUGCUCUCUCUUCUCUCCUCUUCUCCAAGGGGCAAUUUUCUCCGAAGCUUCAGAGGAAAAAAACAGAAGAACCAUCAUAAAAGAAACACAGAGUGUACCUUAAAAACAAAGCAGAAGGAGUCUUUUGCUGGCAUUGAAACAGUUUAUUUCAGAAACAACCACACGCACACCAAGUGUUUGUUGGUUUGAUACAAAGUAUUUAACAAGAGGGACAAGUUAGUAUGGUGCAGCCAUCAAAUUAAAGGCAGGGGCCUACUUGAGUAAGGACAUCUAUGAGCUUUUGAUGGCCUUUGAAUUGGUCUCGUUUCCCAGCUGCUAUAUAGUAUACAUGUUUCUAUUUGCUCUCAAUUGCUCAUAGAUAAAGUAUGUUUCCUCCUUAAAAAGUUUAAGAAAUUUUAAUUGGAUACUUUAUAUUUAAUUUUGUUAAAUUUCAAUCUAUAUGUAUGUCAUAAUAAUUACCGUUGAUAAGUUCUAAUUAUAUUCUUAUUGUAGAAAAGCAUAGCUUAAUUUUUGUGUUAUAUACUGAUAU